AUGUGCCGCUUCUACACUCCGGUGCUGAGUGCGCCGUCCGCGCCCACCUCACGAUUGCUCGCUAUGUCUUGUUCGCC
Molecule: small RNA, 77 nt
Filed under: Xanthomonas sp. NCPPB 1560
Lineage: Bacteria; Pseudomonadati; Pseudomonadota; Gammaproteobacteria; Lysobacterales; Lysobacteraceae
Also listed under: 7 other names
Description: sX9 sRNA
Rfam family: Xanthomonas sRNA sX9
Source: RNAcentral